RNAcentral lists this ribosomal RNA (421 nucleotides) under uncultured bacterium. RNAcentral's name for it is "bacterial SSU rRNA". It matches the Rfam family "Bacterial small subunit ribosomal RNA", at positions 355 to 774 of the family's 1533-position model. The record is from RNAcentral.
UAAGGAAUAUUGGUCAAUGGACGCAAGUCUGAACCAGCCAUGCCGCGUGAAGGAUGAAGGUCCUCUGGAUUGUAAACUUCUUUUAUCUGGGACGAAAACGGGAUUUUUAUCUCAAUUGACGGUACCAGAGGAAUAAGCACCGGCUAACUCCGUGCCAGCAGCCGCGGUAAUACGGAGGGUGCGAGCGUUAUCCGGAUUUACUGGGUUUAAAGGGUGCGUAGGUGGGCUUAUAAGUCAGUGGUGAAAUCUCCGAGUUUAACUUGGAAACUGCCGUUGAUACUAUAGGUCUUGAAUUAUCUGGAGNUAAGCGGAAUAUGUCAUGUAGCGGUGAAAUGCUUAGAUAUGACAUAGAACACCAAUUGCGAAGGCAGCUUACUACAUAUAAAUUGACGCUGAGGCACGAAAGCGUGGGGAUCAAACA